UAAUUCUAGAGCUAAUACAUGCUGGUGAGCCCGACUCUUUGGAAGGGCGGCAUUUAUUAGAUAACAAACCAAUAUUGCUUUGCUCUAUUGUGGUGACUCAUAAUAACUGAUCGAAUCGCAAAGCCUUUGGCUGCGAUACAUCAUUCAAGUUUCUGCCCCAUCAGCUUCCGUUGGUAGUGUAUUGGACUACCAUGGCGUUCACGGGUAACGGAGGAUUAGGGUUCGAUUCCGGAGAGGGAGCCUGAGAAACGGCUACCACAUCUAAGGAAGGCAGCAGGCGCGUAAAUUACCCAAUCCUGACUCAGGGAGGUAGUGACAAGAAAUAACGGACCGUGUCCUUCGGGACUCGGGACU
This 354-nucleotide ribosomal RNA is filed under the name uncultured Spirotrichea. RNAcentral describes it as "SSU rRNA". It matches the Rfam family "Eukaryotic small subunit ribosomal RNA", at positions 153 to 510 of the family's 1831-position model. Lineage: Eukaryota; Ciliophora; Spirotrichea. The record is from RNAcentral.